Eucalyptus grandis is the source of this 570-nucleotide RNA transcript. RefSeq lists it as uncharacterized. The record is from RefSeq and is a predicted model, not a curated record. The transcript has 3 exons. NCBI's taxonomy places the organism in Eukaryota, Viridiplantae, Streptophyta, Magnoliopsida, Myrtales, Myrtaceae.
UAUUCCUGCGAAACGGACAGAUAGGACUUUCCUUUAAACCGAAAAUGGGUGAUGCACUUCUUUUUUGGAGUAUGAAACCUGAUGGUUCUCUGGAUAAAUCCAGUUUGCAUGGUGGUUGCCCUGUUAUUAAGGGGAACAAACAGUCAUCUACUAAGUGGUUGCGUGUGCAUGAGUACAAAGUUUGAGAUACUGAGCAGAAGGUCCAAAAGUUCGUAAAUUCCUACUGCUGUAACAUGUCUGAAUUCUCAGGUGAAGGCCCCAUCUUCCGGGUCUCAUGUCCACCUUUCACGUCAGCAACCAGCAUGCCAUGACUCGCAAUUUUGUAUUGUCUUUGUAGUUCUACCGUAGUACAGAAUGAUCGGCUGUACAGCAAUUCACCUUUCUUCCUCACUUCCUUCCCCUCUUUCUGGGAAUCAGAUGAGCAUAAGAACAUGAGGAUGCUGAUGAGUGCUAUUAUCAUGAACUUUUGAAAGCUAUGGGUGGCGCGUUUUGCAUUCCCCACCCGCCCUUUAUAUACUGAGUCCGAUAUCAUCACAUGAGUUGUGAAUAGUCAUUUGCUGUUCUAGCCAA